Long non-coding RNA from Populus trichocarpa (black cottonwood), 576 nucleotides. RefSeq lists it as uncharacterized. The transcript has 2 exons. NCBI's taxonomy places the organism in Eukaryota, Viridiplantae, Streptophyta, Magnoliopsida, Malpighiales, Salicaceae. The record is from RefSeq and is a predicted model, not a curated record.
UAUCCUCAAGCUCAUCCUUCCUUUAAAUAGAUAUUUUCAUAUAAAUUAACAAACAUAUCUCACUUGAAAAACUCAAACUUUAUCAAGCUUUAAUGAUGAGGAAAAGUUGAUCUAAUAGUUAUGACAAUUUAAAAAUGUAUUAUACACGAGUCACAAUAAUCAAUGCCCGCUCCCGCCCAUGUUCCGCAGAGUCGGGCUUUUCAGACGGGUAUCCUCCGGCCUUCCUCUCUGAUUCCAUUGUCUCUCACUCACCUCUUCCUGCUUCAAACUCUCGUAUAAAAAACACUGCUUCAUGGAUUUCAACGAAAAGUAAUCUAAGAGGCUGAAAGAGCUGAAACAAAAGCAGAGCUGCCCUGUCUCCUGUGCUGUAGUGAUAAAUAGUAAUGGAGAAAGGAGAGAAAAGAUGGUUGGUGGACGCGUCAAAGUGGAACCCAUCUCCCAAUGACUUCUCUUUAGCUCUCUAUGUUCUUCCUCGUGAAAGGUGCUUGCUUUAUCACCAGUGGUCAAAAGGGUGAAUUCUCUUAUAAAUGCUGAACCUGGGAGGAACACAAGUGGGUUGUGAUUACAGAUGUAGAA